GACGAACGCUGGCGGCGUGCUUAACACAUGCAAGUCGAACGGAAAGGCCAUGCUUUUGUGCCGUUCUCGUGUGGCGAACGCGUGAGUAACACGUGAGUAACCUGCCCUUGACAUUGGGAUAACUUCAGGAAAAAGCGGAUAAUACCGCGUAGGAGCUCCUGCUGCGUAGUGGGGGUUGGAAAAAUUCGGCGGUUUGGGAUGGACUCGCGGCUUAUCAGCUUGUUGGUGGGGUAGUGGCUUACCAAGGCUUUGACGGGUAGCCGGCCUGAGAGGGUGAACGGCCACAUUGGGACUGAGGUACGGAGCAGUCUCCUACGGGAGGCAGUAGUGGGGAGUAUUGCACAAUGGGCGGAAGCCUGAUGCAGCAACGCCGCGUGCGGGAUGACGGGUUUCGGGUUGUGAACCGCUUUCGCCUGUGACGAAGCGUGAGUGACGGUAAUGGGUCGAGAAGCACCGGCUAACUACGUG
This 468-nucleotide ribosomal RNA is filed under the name uncultured bacterium. Its description in RNAcentral is "partial 16S ribosomal RNA". It matches the Rfam family "Bacterial small subunit ribosomal RNA", at positions 28 to 507 of the family's 1533-position model. The record is from RNAcentral.